GUGGCGAACGGGUGAGUAACACGUGAGCAACCUGCCCGACAAACCGGGAUAACAGCGGGAAACUGCUGCUAAUACCGGAUACACCAGGUAUGGCGCAUGCUGUAUCUGGGAAAGGGUUUACCGAUGUCGGAUGGGCUCGCGUCCCAUUAGCUAGUUGGUGAGGUAACGGCUCACCAAGGCGACGAUGGGUAGCUGGUCUGAGAGGACGAUCAGCCACACUGGAACUGAGACACGGCCCAGACUCCUACGGGAGGCAGCAGUGGGGAAUCUUGCACAAUGGGCGAAAGCCUGAUGCAGCGACGCCGCGUGGAGGAUGAAGGCCUUCGGGUCGUAAACUCCUGUCUGGGGGGAUGAACACUGACAGUACCCCCGGAGGAAGCCCCGGCUAACUACGUGCCAGCAGCCGCGGUAAUACGUAGGGGGCGAGCGUUGUCCGGAAUUACUGGGCGUAAAGCGCGCGCAGGCGGCCUAUUAAGUCAGGUGUUAAAAUGCGGA
RNAcentral lists this ribosomal RNA (495 nucleotides) under uncultured bacterium. RNAcentral describes it as "bacterial SSU rRNA". It matches the Rfam family "Bacterial small subunit ribosomal RNA", at positions 95 to 606 of the family's 1533-position model. The record is from RNAcentral.